UAAUACGAGAAUCUCGUAUUAUCCUCGAUUUCGAUAAGCACCAAGCGAUAUGAUACGCGUUUCAAAUCUCGGAUUUCAACUUAAUAUUUACUCCGAUUUUGGAGUAUUAAGAUAAUCCGAGAUUUUCUUGGAGUGGCUGCAUGCUUGAAUUUUCGAUAACACGCACACUAGUUAAUCCUCUUGUCAAAAUAAUUUCACGGCGGACGGACUCAAAACAUAAACAAGUGACAAGCUGCAAAGGCAAGAGGAAAUUUCUUAAAAUUUUCCUAAGUUGUUCCAGUUUCCCAACUUUAAUCCGCUUCGAUUCAGCUUCACAAUAUUGGCAAAAAUUCAUAUCAAAACCAACAAAAUGAUGGUACAUAUGUGUACAACACAUCUCUCAGAAUCCCGGAAGAGAAGUAUUCACGAGUUGGUGGGUUCGAGGAAACAUCCGUUUUCAUAAAAAUUAUUAAGAAGGCAACUAAAGAACUGACCGCAGUGGCAGGAAAGUGCAUGUAUUGUGAAAUGUGAAUAAUGGAUCUUGUGACCCGAGCUACACCGAUGCUUCUAAGACUUGGGACUCGACGAAUGGAGGGAGGUACCACCCGCUUGAUGAUCGUGGGACUGCUGCCAGUGGUUGAUUGCCAGACUAACAUCGUCGUUGGCCUUUUCCGCUAACGUUUCGACUAGCAGGAACAUUUUUUUUCGAGUCUACUUCCUUGGCCCCAGGAUGGUGGUCUGCUGGUGCUAAGCAAUUCGUCGAUAAAUUUAUAUGUACUGAUUAGUUUAUUAAAUUAUAAAUCAUGCUCUUUUUAUAAUAAACAUAUAUUUAUUGAAAUAUAAUUCACACCAUUGUAAUAUAAAUACAAAAAUACACUAGAGCAGGAUUUUGUAAGGAAA
Molecule: long non-coding RNA, 879 nt
Organism: Armigeres subalbatus
Lineage: Eukaryota; Metazoa; Arthropoda; Insecta; Diptera; Culicidae
Exons: 2
Source: RefSeq, a predicted model, not a curated record